Molecule: ribosomal RNA, 181 nt
Filed under: uncultured beta proteobacterium
Lineage: Bacteria; Pseudomonadati; Pseudomonadota; Betaproteobacteria
Description: partial 16S ribosomal RNA
Rfam family: Bacterial small subunit ribosomal RNA (bases 38-179)
Source: RNAcentral
GGGGCGCGGGGCAGAGUGAAGCUGCGCAGCAUGCGCGUGUGUGAAGAAGGCCUUCGGGUUGUAAAGCUCUUUUGUCAGGGAGGACGGGUACUGGGUUAAUACCCUUGUGGCUUGACGGUACCUUGACAGAAAGCCCCGGCUAACUUCGUGCCAGCAGCCGCGGUAAUAACGGAGCCAGCAG